This 496-nucleotide ribosomal RNA is filed under the name uncultured bacterium. RNAcentral's name for it is "partial 16S ribosomal RNA". It matches the Rfam family "Bacterial small subunit ribosomal RNA", at positions 28 to 506 of the family's 1533-position model. The record is from RNAcentral.
GAUGAACGCUGGCGGCGUGCCUAAUACAUGCAAGUCGAGCGAACAGACGAGGAGCUUGCUCCUCUGACGUUAGCGGCGGACGGGUGAGUAACACGUGGAUAACCUACCUAUAAGACUGGGAUAACUUCGGGAAACCGGAGCUAAUACCGGAUAAUAUAUUGAACCGCAUGGUUCAAUAGUGAAAGACGGUUUUGCUGUCACUUAUAGAUGGAUCCGCGCCGCAUUAGCUAGUUGGUAAGGUAACGGCUUACCAAGGCAACGAUGCGUAGCCGACCUGAGAGGGUGAUCGGCCACACUGGAACUGAGACACGGUCCAGACUCCUACGGGAGGCAGCAGUAGGGAAUCUUCAGCAAUGGGCGAAAGCCUGACGGAGCAACGCCGCGUGAGUGAUGAAGGUCUUCGGAUCGUAAAACUCUGUUAUUAGGGAAGAACAAAUGUGUAAGUAACUAUGCACGUCUUGACGGUACCGAAUCAGAAAGCCACGGCUAACUACGG